GUCCGACGUGGAAGUUGCUGGCUGACUGGGCUUGCGAGGAAACCGCCUCGGAGCUGCAGCCGAAGGCCAAGGAAUCACUGAAGAUCGGCGAGGGAGGACAGGGGGUUCAUCAUGGGUGGCUUUUUCUCAAGUAUAUUUUCCAGUCUGUUUGGAACUCGGGAAAUGAGAAUUUUAAUUUUGGGAUUAGAUGGAGCAGGAAAAACCACAAUUUUGUACAGAUUACAAGUUGGAGAAGUUGUUACUACUAUACCUAGUAAGUGUUGGUAUGAUGAGCUAAUUGUAGGGACUUUCUGGUCUCCAUCCAACAUAACUCUAUUUCUUUCUUUCUUUUUUGUUUGUUUUAGUAGAGAUCAGGUAUCAUCACUAUGUUGCCCAAGCUGGUCUUAGACUCUUGGCCUCAAGUGAUCCUCCUGCCUUGGCCUCCCAAAGUGCUGGGAUUACAGGUGUGAGCCACCUCACCCAGCCAUGGAAGUUAUUUUUUACCUAUUUUUCACCUAAGAAGGAUGGCAGAGAAAAGGGAUGGGACACCUGCCCUUUGACCACCCAGCCAUGACCUUAUUACAAGUGAGUUCUGGAGGAUGUCUGCAGAUGGGCUGUGAGAUUGAAAGCUGCAGCCAUGGCUGUGUCCAUGCUGUAGUUUAGAACUGAAGUUUAGCUUUUUUUUGCUUUUGGUCUGUUUAUUUGCUGCCAGCCAAAAUUCUGCUUUUUAUAGUACAUCCACAACUGUAC
Molecule: small RNA, 729 nt
Filed under: Pan troglodytes (chimpanzee)
Lineage: Eukaryota; Metazoa; Chordata; Mammalia; Primates; Hominidae
Description: processed transcript
Source: RNAcentral